GACGAACGCUGGCGGCGUGCCUAAUACAUGCAAGUCGAGCGGACGGAUGGGAGCUUGCUCCCAGACCGUCAGCGGCGGACGGGUGAGUAACACGUGGGCAACCUGCCUGUAAGACUGGGAUAACUCCGGGAAACCGGGGCUAAUACCGGAUAACUCUUUCCCUCACAUGAGGGAAAGCUGAAAGAUGGCCUCUCGCUAUCACUUACAGAUGGGCCCGCGGAGCAUUAGCUAGUUGGUGAGGUAACGGCUCACCAAGGCGACGAUGCGUAGCCGACCUGAGAGGGUGAUCGGCCACACUGGGACUGAGACACGGCCCAGACUCCUACGGGAGGCAGCAGUAGGGAAUCUUCCGCAAUGGACGAAAGUCUGACGGAGCAACGCCGCGUGAGUGAUGAAGGUUUUCGGAUCGUAAAACUCUGUUGUCAGGGAAGAACAAGUACCGGAGUAACUGCCGGUACCUUGACGGUACCUGACCAGAAAGCCACGGCUAACUACGUG
This 498-nucleotide ribosomal RNA is filed under the name uncultured bacterium. RNAcentral describes it as "partial 16S ribosomal RNA". It matches the Rfam family "Bacterial small subunit ribosomal RNA", at positions 28 to 507 of the family's 1533-position model. The record is from RNAcentral.